RNAcentral lists this long non-coding RNA (2993 nucleotides) under Anolis carolinensis (green anole). Its description in RNAcentral is "lncRNA (ENSACAG00000039991.1)". Lineage: Eukaryota; Metazoa; Chordata; Lepidosauria; Squamata; Anolidae. The record is from RNAcentral.
GUGUUGGUUGAUUUGAUUUUUUUUUUCAUUUUCAGCAAAGGCGUGUUCCUAUUGGUUGGAAAUGACAAUGUGGGCGGAGCCUGAUUGGACAAGAGGCGCCUGAUUGGACAUAAAUUCCCCACUGGUGUUGGUUUGAUUUUUUUUUAUUGAGUGGGCGCGGCCUUAGAAGAGGCGCGUUCCUAUUGGUUGGAAAUGGAAAGGGGGAGGGGCGUGAGGGACGGGAGCGCGCGCCCGGCGUGUGUGCGCCUCAGAGUGUGCGCGAGGGCGCACGCAUGCGCGCUCCCCGGGUGCUCUUUCGCUCUGGGGCUCCUGUGAGGAGAAGAAGGAGGAGGAGGAGGAAGAGGAGGCCGGUCCGGCGGCCUGAGGGGACGGAGAGGCGGCGGAGGAAGGCGAGGAGGAGCCGGGGAGGCGAAGGGGAGCGGCGCGGAGAGGCCUGAGGGACCCCAACCUCGCCCGGCCUCUGCCCUCAGCCUCGCCGCCUCAGAAAGGGCCCGGCGCAGCUCCCGCCUCCCCGGCCCGUCUGGCGCCCCCUAUUGGCCAGCCGCACUCGCCCAGGCCCCGCCCCUUUGGGUCAGGCUGUCAGUCAGGCCAAAGGUAGGCCCUUGCCUUGACCUUUCCCCUUUUCCUUUCCUCAGGCACCAUCCAGACCCCCUUCUUCUCAUUAUUAUUAUUAUUAUUAUUAUUAUUACCUUAUUAUCUUUUACCUACCUCUCUCUCAGCCUUUCUGCAUCCCUCAAUUAAUAAUAAUAAUAAUAAUAAUAAUAAUAAUAAUAACAUUAUUAUCCCUCAUCUACCAUUUUCUUCACUUUUUCCUCUCUCUCUUGCCAUUUUCACCAUCUUUCUUCUCAUCCCACUCUCCUUUCCUGCUUCUUGCAGCCCUCCCCCCUUAAAAUAUUCUCCAAUAAGUAUUUUCUUCCUCUUGCUUCUCUUCUCUAGAUUCCCUUCCUUUUCUUAUCUCCUUCUCCCACUUAUUUUCUUCUAUAUCUAUUACCGCCUUCUCCCCAUCCCAUUCUCUGUCUCAGGUUUUCCACAGGCUUUUCAAAAUAAUAUAUAAUAUAUUAUAUUAUAUUUUAUUGCUUUCUCCCCAUCCCAUUCUCUGUCUCAAGCUUCUCACAGGCUUUCAAAAAUAAUAUAUAAUAUCUAAAAUCUAAAUAUUGUUUUGAUCCAUUGCUUAUUUUUGCCUUCUUUUCCUUCUCUCUCGAAUUCUCUCCACCUCCUGCAUACUCUUCUUGUUUUAGGUGCUCUCUCAUUUCACUCUUGUAUUGUAAUUUCCUUCCAUUGCUCAUUUCCUCCUCUUGCUUUUCUUCCCUUUCUUAUCUCCUUCUCCCACUUAUUUUCUUCUUCUAUAUUUAUUAUUGCUUUCUCCCCAUCCCAUACUCUCUCUCUCUGUUUCCCCCAGGCUUUUAAAAACAAUAUAUAAUAUCUGAAAUCUCAAUAUUGUUUUGUCCAUUGCUCAUUCGCCUGCUUUUACUUCCUUCUCUCUUGAAUCCUCUCCUCCUUCUCCAUUCUUUUCUUGUGUUAUAAUAAAUAAUAAUAACUUUAUUUUUGUACCCCGCCUCCAUCUCCCCAAAGGGAUUCGGGCGGCUUAUAUAUUUUAGGUACUCUUUCAUUUCACUGCUCUUGUCUUUUAAUUCAAGUUCUUCUCAUCCAUUAUUUUUCUUCAUACGUGUUUUUUAUUUUUUGCAGGAUUUCCCACUCUUUAAAAAAACUUUUUUUGCAUCCUUGCAAUUAGAGAGUUCUGAACUAGUCAGGACACAAACCUAAACGCAUCCUUCGUUGUUCCUUUCGGGCUGUUUCCACAACUUAGACAUUCUUUGCUUCCUAAUGCCAGUGCUGGUCCUCGAGAAGUAACUCUUUUGAGAGUAUUUUCUUACCUCUUUUCAUGCAUUUUGGUGGUUUCCCAUUUCUAAAAUUGUUUCCUUCUUCUGUUUUCGCAUUUCCCAUCUCAUUCUGUUUGUAGUUUGUCUUCCCUUUUGAAUUGUUUUCGUUUUCCCUUAAGUAAAGUCUUUUAUAUUCUGCGGCAUUUGGUUUCUCUUUCCUGUUUUUUUGUAAUUUCUUUUUAAGUCAUACUUGUUUCCCCCAUGUUCCUUUUCCCUUCUGUUUCCAUUCUGUUCUUUACUCCACUGUUGCAUUUUAAAAGAUUAUUUCUGUGAACUGGUUGCUUGUUAUCCACAUUCCUAUUUGUGUACUUCAUUCUUCUGUUCACAUUACUUGACUGUCCUGUUUCUUUUCAGUUCCAUCAUUUCCAGUUAUUUUUCUCAGUCACCCAGUUUGAUCUGCUUUCAUUCUUUGCAUUUAAGUCAUCUCAUUUACUCCUUGUCCUCAGUAACUUGUGUUGCCUGACUUCCCACCUCCCACACACCACUUUUCUGUCAGUCUUAUUCUGUUUUACUUGCUCCUCUUUUCCAGUAUCUUUCUUCCUCCCAUAUUCUUCUUUCCGUCCUUUUUGGACAUUGCCUCUCCCCACUGACUUAACAUUCUUUGCUUUAAUCAGUCACUUCCUAUUCCCUUCCACGGGACAUUGCUUGCAUCCAUCCACGUUUAAUAUUAAAGGUGAAUGGAUGUAUACACAGCACAGAGUGGAGGAGACUCGUAGAAGCCCGUAAGGGACCUUCUUACACAUUUUUGAAAAGAUAAAUGAAAAGGAUGUGGGAAUGGAAGGGGUGGAGUUGUCAGUAUUCCUAACAUUUUCUAGGGGGGUGCAUUCACAUCCUUUUUCUAGGGGGGACGGGGACUGACUCAAAUUCAAGACUGGCACAGAAAAAGCAGAAAGAUGGCCUUCUAGUACCAACUACACCAGCCAUCUUGGGGGGAAAGGGGAAUUUCUUGCAUGCUCACACUCACACACGCAGCAGCCUCCAUUUUUAGUGACUUAAUGAAGACGUAAACGACCUGUAGAACUCCAUGUUUGCGAAGGUGGGCAACUUGCUUGUGAAAGUGUAGCAGACCUUCAUUUUUGUGGCCAAAUGACAGCUUGACCCAGUUGUUCUCCA